AUUCAUUGUGUUGGUAAGAAACAAAGUGGAGGAAGCUCAUUUUUUAUCAAGAUCAAUAAUAAUUUUUGAGAAAACCAUUACCACUUGGUCUUGCCCUUGUAAUUCUAGUGAUACUAGCUAAGGUAACAAAUCAGGAAUUUCUCCUUCUCCUUGCUUGGCCGAAAACUAAGAGUAAUAUAUAGGAAGAUGUUUUAUUUCAAUUUUUCUCUUUAUUAAUAUUAUAGAUCCAUGAUAGUUAAUGUUAGAUCUAGAAGAAUCCUAUACUUUCCCCUCUCUUUGUUCCGAGCUGGCCGAACCCUAGGUGGUUUGAUGUUGAUUAAAAUUUAAAUUUCCUUCAUGCUUGAAGCUUUCUUGUUUUAUGGUCGUUGAUGAAUCUAAGCUUUGAGUUUUGGGUUUUUGAAUAAAGCAAUUGUUUUUUAAGUUUAAAGAAAGAUUUUUGGGAAAUGUGUGAAAUAAAUUUAUGACAUUGUUUUCAUGCAAUUAAAGCUAUCACAAGUUGUUUGGGUGAAUCAAUUUUUGAAAGAAAGGGUGAGAAAUAAAUUUUAGGGUUUUGAGAAAUAAAUUUUAGGGUUUGGGUAAAUCAAUUUUUGAUUUUAGGGUUUUGGGAAUUUGAUUAAUUUUUUUAAAUCCAUUCAAUUAAUGUUGUUUUCUUACAAUUGAAAAUAUCACAAGUUGUUUUAGGUUAUCAAUUUUGGAAACAAAAUGCGAGAAUUGAAAAGCCCUUAGAUUUAUGAGUUUUGAAUUUAUGGGUUGAAGAAUUUUUGCUAAUGUGUUGAUUUUUGAAAGAAAAUUAGAAAAAGCCCAAUUUUUAUUUGUUUUAAUUUUAGGGUGUUGAAAAUUUGAUUAAUUUUUGGAAAUCCAAUCAACUGAUGUUGUUAUCUUACAACUGAAAAUAUCACAAGUUGUUUUAGUGUAACAAUUUUUUGGAAAGAAAAUGCGAGAAUUGAAAAGCCCUAAAUUUAUGAGUUAUGUAUUUAGGGUUUGAAGAAAUUUUGCUAAAGCGUUGAACUUAAACAAAUUGUUUAUGUGAAAUUACUAAUUGUAUAAAUAAUUUAUCUUAGUUGGAUUUUAUAAAAUGAACUAGAUGUUAGCUAGGUUAUUAGGUUAUACUAUAGUGUCCAGACUGCAAAGCUCUUGUCCUCAUUCCUUUUCCAUCAUCUUUAACUUUUGCUGAUUGUUAGAUGAUAUGGAAUGUCUUACAUAAUUGCAUGGUAUGUUUCCUAUUUGACUAGAAUCAGGGGUCCUAGUAUUAAUUAAAGAAGGAUUAAAAAUUAUACUUUUGUAAUUUUUUUUAUAAGCAAAAGUUGAAUUAUAAGGAGUACAAGGGGUAUUCAAUCCUUACAAUUCAAAAACAAUCACUUUAGAUGCAUUUAAAACAAACUAAAGGAUUGUUACACUCCACUAAGAAAAACCAAAACCAAAACCACGUAAUAUAAACAAUUUGAUCCACUAAGGAAGCUAUAUUUAACACAAGCUCCCUGAAACAAAAUAUUAUUUUGCAUACGCCAAAUACUCCACGUUUUGUACUNNNNNNNNNNNNNNNNNNNNNNNNNNNNNNNNNNNNNNNNNNNNNNNNNNNNNNNNNNNNNNNNNNNNNNNNNNNNNNNNNNNNNNNNNNNNNNNNNNNNNNNNNNNNNNNNNNNNNNNNNNNNNNNNNNNNNNNNNNNNNNNNNNNNNNNNNNNNNNNAUCACUUUAGAUGCAUUUAAAACAAACUAAAGGAUUGUUACACUCCACUAAGGAAAACCAAAACCACGUAAUAUAAACAAUUUGAUCCACUAAGGAAGCUAUAUUUAACACAAGCUCCUUGAAACAAAAUAUUAUUUUGCAUACGCCAAAUACUCCACGUUUUGUACUUUGAUUCAAAUCAUGUCCAAACACAUAAUUCAAUUUUAUUUCUCUCUUUUGUUUCCUUAGGUAAAACACUGACUUCCAUGUAUCAAAGUGGUAGCAUCCUCCAUGACUCGUCUCCUUGACUUGGAUGCCUUUAUCGGAUGACUAAUGUCUAUCCAAAAGAAAUCAGUCUAGCCUCACAGGUAUCUCAGAUGUAAACUUGUUUUACAGCUAUUCCAGAGAAAUCAGCGUGAACUUGCCGCUGAUAUUUUCAUAGAGGAUGUUAAAUUACUUCUUGGUAUUAAUUAGUUUUCAUAUAUUUAUGUUCUAUCAUAAUUUGUUUUCCUCUUUGAUUGAAUUAAAAAAAAAAAAAUCAACAGUUACCUGCGGAAUUACCUGANNNNNNNNNNNNNNNNNNGUGCCAAAAUCCCCAGAAAGAUCCUUUGAAAUAACCGAAUUACCAGAAACAGAAAAAUCCUCAGGAAACCCUUGGGAAUACCUGUGGAAUUUCCUGAAACAGAAAAAGCCAUAGGAAAUUCCUCUGAAUGGCAAAAUCCGCGGGAAAUUCUGCUAGAAAUAUGCAAAUUUCUAAUAGUAUACUGACGUAAAUAAGGGAUGAUGCAUAGUCUUUCGUACUCUUUUAAUUAAAUAUUUAAUUAUUUUACGGGAAUUAAACUAAAGUUGAAUUGAUAUUUAGUGUUGAUGUAAAAAUUAUUUACCCUUGCAUUAGUUAUAUCUCUAUAAAAUUGAUAAUUAAGAGGAACUAAUACAUCAAAGUGACGUAAAAAAAAAAUUGAAUAAACAAGAAAAAAAAAUGCAAUGGUUUUGAGUGGCCCAUUACCCACAUGGCCUGUAUGGGAUCGGGACGACUCGUAAAUAUAUAGCCCAAUAAUAAUUGGGUCUGGACAGUGUGGCUCAUUUAUGUAGUCUAGCCCAUCGGGGUUUACCAACUUGCGCAAGCCCAACCCAUUUCACAGCUCUAAUUGCAGUUGGGGAAAGAAAUUAAAGAAGUUAAUGAUAUUUGUUCAUUUCUAGAGGAUAUCCUGAUAUCAUAUAUUCAAAUGCAAGAAAGUAUUAAGUUUUGACGAUCUCUUCAACUUUUCGGUGGUUUGCAAGAAGUGGAGGGUAGCUCAGAAAAUUUAUUGACGAAAAUUCCUAGAAUCACAAUCACCAAUUAUUGCAGUAAACUACUAGAUAUGCACAAAGGUUUUACUCUCUUUAUAGCAAGACCGAAAAACAAUCUUACAGUUCUAAGAUGGAUUAUUUUUAGGGCUUAUUCUAUUGUAGUUUUUCUAGUGGAUAUUUGAUUAAGGUAGGUGCCAACAAAACACUUAAGCUAAUGAAUCCAUUUAUUAUAAAACUGAAGAUCAUUGAUAUCUCAAUAUGUAGUUGGAAAGGAUUUGACUAAUUUUGAUUGUCGUGACUUACUCUUUUGCCAAAGGCUUUAAUGAUUUUGUCAAAGUGGCUUCAUACAGACGUCACCUUGGUUUGUAUAUUUAUUAGUUAUGACACUUAUUACAAAAGGGGAUAUCCAUGGAAGGUUGUGGACUUUGCUGUGUUUAACAAUACUAUUUUUGUUCUCACUGACAAGGCUGAAAUAGAGGUACUUAGCAUGAACUCUACAAAUUUGAAAUUUUUAUAGCUGAAGACUACUCCCAAUGUAAAUUCCUGGUCCUAUAAUUUACUUAGUUGUGAUUGGGAACUUCUAAUGGUUACAUUGUACUGAAUAAAAUGGAUGUCUACAAGAUAGACUAGGAAACAAUGACCUACCUCAAGUAAAAAAGUUCGGGUGACCUUGUAUUAUUUUAUUUGCCUUACAAAUGUUAUGCGCAGUAAGUUCUGAGCCCCAGUAAGUAGGCAUAUGAAAGAAAUUGUGUAUUGUAUUACCCGGGUUCGCUAGCGCAUAGCAUUUGUAAGGCGAAUGAAAUAAAGCGAAGUCAUCCAAGUUUAUAGCUUGAGAUAACUAAUUGUCUCUCAAUCUAAGGUUUAGACAUCCAAUAAUUUAUUUGCUACAAAGUGAUACACUAGAAUCUCCCUAUCAAACCUAAGUAAAUUUUACGUUCGAAGAAAUUACAAUGAGAAUAUUUGUCUAUUUUAAAAAUUUCAAACUUGUAGAGUUUAUGCUAAGUACCCCUAUUUCAGCUUUAUCGGCUAGAACAUAAAUAGUAUUUUUAAACACAAUAAAGUCCACAACCUUCCAUGGAUAUCCCUUUUAGAGUAAGUGUCACAACUCGAAUAUAAUGACUGAUAUAAACAUACAAACCGAGGGAACGUUUGUAUGUAGCCACUAUGACAAAUUCAUCAGGGCCUUUGGCAAAAGCGGGUAAAACACGACAAUCGAAAUAAGUCAAACCAUUUUCAACUACUGAGAUAUCAAAGAUUUAUGUUUUCUUGUAAAUGGAUUCAUUAACUUAGUGUAUUGUUGGCAUCUACCAUGAUCAGAUAUCCACUAGACGAACCACAAUAGGAUAAGCCCCAAAAACAAUUCAUCCUAGAGUUGGAAGCUCGUUUUUCGGGUAUGCUAGAAAAAGAGUAAAACAAUUUUGCAUACCUAGUAGCUUGCACAAUCAUCGGUGAUUGUGAUUCUAGGAAUUUCCCCCAAUUAAUUUUUUGAACUGCCCUCUACUCCUUGCAAACCAUCGAAAAAUUGAAAAUAUCGUCAUAACUUACUAGUUUUUUGGAUAUGAUAUCAAGCUUAUCCUCAGAAAGUGGACUGAUAUCUGUAACUUCUUUCAUUUUCUUCCCUGCAACAAUGGGAAUGUUAGGUGAUUUCCACUUAUACAUAUGAGAGAAACUGUUUCUUCACCUAAUUACAAUCAAAAUAUUGGAAUUGUGUAGUAAUAUUGAAUGUCAUCGAUAAUUAUGUCAACCAAAAAUGACCAUAUUCAUAAUUAUAAAGAUGCAUUGAAAAAACAUUGUGUCACUUGAAACUAUAACAAUGUCAUAAUUUAUGCUGUUGAGUGGCCAUUUAAUCGGUCCAACAGUCAUAUGUCAAUCAUUAGGACUGUGCAAUGGAACUUGAUUCAUGAUCAUAAGGAUGGGAAUAAUGCUCUUGAAGGAAAAAUUAUGUCAUGAAGUAAUAUUGGUGAUAAAGUUUGACACAUUCAGAUGUAAGAUUCAUUUGUCAGAGGUCUCGUGUGGAAGAUGCUUAACGCAUUGAGUAGCAGUUUUAUUUCCAAUUCUUUAAAUCAACAUUUCAUAUUGUUGGCUCCAAAAUGGAAAAACUAAAGGUAUUAAGAACACUUUCUAUCCAUUGGAAAUUAAAGAGACACGUAAAAAUAGUGCAUCCAUUGCUUAUUCUAUGAAGAUCACAAAAUGCAAAAGAAUCAUACUAAUAUAGUUUUUUUGAAGGAAGAAUCAUACUAAUAUACUGCUACUAUUAUUUGUUUCUACUAUGUGCACCCUUUUGUUUUAGAAAAAGUGGUUAAUAGUUUUUUUUUUACAAAAAAAGUGGUUAAGAGCUAUGAAGCACGGACUCUGUUAUGGACACCGCGACACCGGUAAUGUAAAAAAUAUAAGACACAAGAUACCGCUAUAUAUUUAUAAAAUAUAUAAAUUGAAAAUCAAAAUAUAUACAUGUAAAUCUAAGUUGUUGGAAAUUACUUUUUAAAAUAAGUUUGUUGAGGAAGUUAUUUCUUAAAAAAUGUUUUAAAACAAAAAUAUGAUAGUAUUUUACAUUUAUUUAUUCAUCUACUAUCGAAAAAACUAAAAAUAUUGUGAUCAAAAUGUAAUGUUUGCAACCUCUCAUUGAUCAAUAAUGUUGUUUCGACACAUCCUUAACACUUGUAGAUAUGUCUGAUAUGUGUCAUACGAGUGUCUUACAAGUAUCAGUCACCGAUCAAAGGAGUGUCAAAGUAAAAGAAAAAUUUAAUUUUUUUUUGACACCAAUAUGAGCUAUCUGACACGUAUCGGACGAGUGUCGAACACCAACACGUGUCGGAUACCGCGACACGCCCAUUCAUAGAGGUGUCAGUUAUUCUUAUGAUUACUGGAAGACACAAACAAAAAUAAUCUUUAAACUUAUCUUUAAUAUUAUCCUAAAUUAUAUUUCCGCAAUCCCUGGAAGACACAAACAAAACCAAAAAAAGGAUCAAAUUUUUUUGAAAGGUUUAUAUUUUUAAAAAAUGGAAAACAGGAAAUAUAAACUGACCAUAUAUGAGAUUUCCAUCGACUUUUCAAUAUGAAGCUUCUUGGUGGCGGACAAUGGCGGAAAUCGUUGCAAAGAUGGAAGAAGAGAUGCAAGGAGAUUUGAGAGAUUGAGAUUUAACAUGUCAUUGGGACUUGUAGUUUGAGGGCCUGUUUGAAUUUAGCUUAUUAUUAGAAUCAAAGAAGGAAGAUAAAACAGAAGUGACUUGAAACUUGUUCUAGAAGCUUUUAGUUAGAGUUUGUUGUAACUAUCAUAGUUUGUUGUAACUAACUUUGAACUACUUUUCCAGCAUUUUUCUUUCUUUCACUUUGUAUAUAAAUCAUUGUGUGAUGCAAUAACAAACUAUGAGAUCAUUCUAUCGCUUUCACAAAGAUUCUUAAGCUUCUUCUUUCGAUGUUAAUUCAUCACUUUAACAUGGUAUCUUGAGCCUGUACUUUUUAGAGCUCGUUUCCGCAUUCAACAAUGGUGGCACCUACAAUGCGUGCUUCCUCAAGCAGUUUCACCGAUCAAAUGCAAGAUCAAUCAAGUACGUACUAUGUUCAUCCUAGUGACGGUCCUUCCUCCAUCGUCGUUAAGCAUCUUCUUACUGGUUCCAAUUACCAUUCAUGUGCGAGAUCGAUGUGACAUGCUCUCGGCGCAACGAUGAAGUAUAUGAGUUCGUCGAUGGUUCGAUUUCGGUGGUUACAGAUCCGUUCGAUCCUACCUUCUA
Molecule: long non-coding RNA, 6687 nt
Filed under: Trifolium pratense (red clover)
Lineage: Eukaryota; Viridiplantae; Streptophyta; Magnoliopsida; Fabales; Fabaceae
Description: long non-coding RNA (TPRA_LNC001122)
Source: RNAcentral